RNAcentral lists this ribosomal RNA (428 nucleotides) under uncultured Kofleriaceae bacterium. RNAcentral's name for it is "bacterial SSU rRNA". It matches the Rfam family "Bacterial small subunit ribosomal RNA", at positions 355 to 776 of the family's 1533-position model. The record is from RNAcentral. Lineage: Bacteria; Pseudomonadati; Myxococcota; Haliangiales; Kofleriaceae.
UGGGGAAUAUUGGACAAUGGGCGCAAGCCUGAUCCAGCCACGCCGCGUGAGUGAUGAAGGCCUUCGGGUCGUAAAGCUCUGUGGGGAGGGACGAACCGCUGGGGGUUAAUAGCCUCCAGCAUGACGGUACCUCCUUAGCAAGCACCGGCUAACUUCGUGCCAGCAGCCGCGGUAAUACGAAGGGUGCAAACGUUGCUCGGAAUUAUUGGGCGUAAAGCGCACGUAGGCGGCUUUGUGUGUCGGAUGUGAAAUCCCUCGGCUCAACCAAGGAAGUGCAUUCGAAACUGCAAAGCUUGAGUACUUAAGAGGAUCGCGGAAUUCCCGGUGUAGAGGUGAAAUUCGUAGAUAUCGGGAGGAACACCAGUGGCGAAGGCGGCGAUCUGGGAAGAUACUGACGCUGAGGUGCGAAAGCGUGGGGAGCAAACAGG